AAUUAAUUCAAUUCUAUAUAAAAGGAGAUACAGUAGAAUUGAAAUAGCUACCAGUUAACCAGUUUCAAUCAAAUAACUACUUUAAUUUCUGUAUCAAGCCUCCUGGGUAUUAUUGUUUCCUAAGCAUCAUUGAGGGGGCACUUGUUCUUAAUAUAUGCAAUAAGUCUGGUUACCAUUAAAAAAUGUCCAUAUUCAGAGUUACCAUUGUACUAUAUUUUAUUAAAAUACUGCAGAAAUGCAAUAUAUAUCAUGAUUUUAAGAAUUAAUUGAGGGCUGCAUGGUUAAAAGAGGAGGGGCUGGCCGAGGGGGGCUUAUUUUUUAUUUUUGUAUGCAAAUGAGGGGGGGGGCUUAUUUAUUUUAUAUUUUUGUAUCCAAAUGAGGGGGGGGGGGUUAUUGGAGAGGGGCUUGAAGAGAAGGGAGCUAAAUUUAGAAAUUACAGUACCUCCAUUCCUUACUCUUCCUUCCCAAACAUGCUGCAGGAGAGGGGCAACUGCAUGGGUUAAAGCAUGGAUUGCAAGGUUGAUAUAUUGCAUGUUAUGUACCUGGUAAUAUGGAGAAAUGAGCUAGUAAAUAUAUCCUUUCCUAUAAUUAGUUGCUGAUUAAAUGUCCAAAGAUACACAGUGUGAAGCAUGAAAAGCAAAUGGAAGAUACCCACUGCAAGAAUUUUUCAACAAAUAUAUAUGGAUUUGUUCACUUCAUUUAUUACUUUUGACACAAGUAAUUAUAGUAAUUAUAAUUACAAACACAAUGUACUGUCAUUUAAAGACUUUUUAUGUGGUCCAUGUAUAUAUGUUAAUGUAAUAUAAUAUAAAAAAUAAUGUGUUUAUUGUUAAAAUAUGUGAUAUAUAAUACCGUAAACCUCUGACUAUAAGCCCUGGGCUUAUAUUCUUUUGAAGCGAUUUUUCAUGGGCUUAGGGGGGGGGGCUUAUAUGCAUGGGGGCCUUAUACAUGGACAAUCAAUUGUGUUAGUAAUAAACAAGUCAGUCACUCAUAAACAGGAAAAUAAACAUGUGUAAAAAAUAACACACUCCAUUAACAUAGUAAGCUAUAAAGACAAUGACAGUGUUUCAAAUAUCAUUCUCUGCUAUAUUUAAAGACAAUGUCAAUGUUAAAUAACAUAGUGGGAUACCGGGCUGAUAUUCAGGGGGCUAAUAUUCAGGGGACUUAUAUUCAGGGGGGCUUAUAUUUGGAAUGAGGUGAGCAUUAUAUUCAGAGGUUUACAGUAUACAGUUGAACAAAGCUUGUAUUUUCUUGUCAUAGACACAUAUUUCUGGGUGCAUAUAGAACAGCUUAAACGUCAGGUUCUCAUGUCGAUCCAAUGGUAAUUUGAUAUCGCUGCCAUCACCAUAAUAUAGUGUAGCACAGAAUGGCCUUGUACGUAUCAUACUUUGACAUACUAUCAUGCAUGCAGAAAUACUUUGGUCAUUCAUGUGGAGAUAUUACUAUCACGAUAGAAUUAGUUACGCCAAGUAACAUGUCGUACACGUCAGGUAGCAGCUGAAAUAUUUUAAUAUUUGCCAUAAUAUGCCCAUAACCUGUUGGCAAAACAACCAAA
RNAcentral lists this long non-coding RNA (1555 nucleotides) under Paramuricea clavata. Lineage: Eukaryota; Metazoa; Cnidaria; Anthozoa; Malacalcyonacea; Plexauridae. The record is from RNAcentral.